RNAcentral lists this ribosomal RNA (349 nucleotides) under uncultured bacterium. Its description in RNAcentral is "bacterial SSU rRNA". It matches the Rfam family "Bacterial small subunit ribosomal RNA", at positions 54 to 383 of the family's 1533-position model. The record is from RNAcentral.
CAUGCAAGUCGAGCGGGGAUUAUCGAAUGAAGUUUUCGGAUGGAAUUUGGUGAUUCUAGCGGCGGACGGGUGAGUAACGCGUGAGCAACCUGCCUUUCACAGGGGGAUAACGCAUCGAAAGGUGCACUAAUACCGCAUGAGACCACGCUCCCGACAUGAGAGAGGGGUCAAAGGAGCAAUCCGGUGAGAGAUGGGCUCGCGUCUGAUUAGCUAGUUGGUGAGGUAACGGCCCACCAAGGCGACGAUCAGUAGCCGACCUGAGAGGGUGAUCGGCCACAUUGGAACUGAGAGACGGUCCAAACUCCUACGGGAGGCAGCAGUGGGGAAUAUUGGGCAAUGGGGGAAACCC